Molecule: RNA transcript, 3206 nt
Organism: Lycium barbarum (goji berry)
Lineage: Eukaryota; Viridiplantae; Streptophyta; Magnoliopsida; Solanales; Solanaceae
Gene name: putative late blight resistance protein homolog R1A-10
Exons: 3
Source: RefSeq, a predicted model, not a curated record
GCUACUCCGUUGAAUUGGACAUUAUUAGGGCUUGCAUCACAUAUCUUUAUUACUAUGUAUUAAGUGAAACAAUUUGAUUACAGGGCUCUCUGUCUUUAGGCAAUUCAAAGCAAAACUGCAAUAACCAUUACACUAAAGAGGAAUGGCUUAUUCUGCUCUUUCUUCACUUAUGUACACACUGCAGCGACUUUUACAACCUAACACACAUUUGGUUUGUGGAAGCCUAAGAUUUAUACAACAACACCAUGUCGAAUCUUCCUAUAAAAGUCUAUCUGCACUGCAAGUUUUUCUUGAGAAUACUACAAAGGAAAUUAAAGAUACUGAAACUUUGAAGGUUAUAGAAAAGAGGAUCAGAGAUGUAAUUUACAAAGUAGAAUAUAGAGUCGAUUCGAGCCUAAGAAUCAUCAUUCUAGCAGAUACCAGAGACGAUCAAGAAGAGGCUUGUAAAUCCUUCAAUGAAGAAUUGCAACAAGUGGAAAAAGAAGUUGAUCUUCUUAGGGAAGAGGUGAUGCAGAUCGAGUUUAACGAGCACCGAAGCAAAUAUGCCGAAGCAAAAGCUUGUUCCUCAUCGAGAAGGUAUGCAACUGAACACAAUACUGUUGUUGGAAUGGAGGAUGACUUUAAUUACAUAAUAAAUCGCCUCAUUGCCCAAACAGAUGAGCUAACUGUCAUAUCAAUUGUUGGUAUGGGCGGUAUAGGUAAGUCAACUCUCGCUAGAAAAGUUUAUGAUGAUCCGUUAAUUCGACAUCGAUUUGAUACACAUGUAUGGGUCACUGUCUCUGAAAACUACAAUGAGAGACAAGUGCUACUUGAUGUUGUCUCUUCAAUUAAUCGGAAUAAGACUGACGAAAGCAGUCAACAAGUGAGCAAUGAUCAACUAGCGGAGAUUGUGUAUAAAAGUCUGAAGGGUUGGAGGUUUCUAAUUGUCAUAGAUGAUCUCUGGACUACUGAGGCUUGGGACCAGAUACAAAGAUCAUUUCCAAAUGAUAACAAGAAAAGUCGGAUUCUAUUAACCACGCGACUCAAAUAUGUUGCUGAUUAUGUAAGCUGCUCUGAUUUUCCUCCUCAUAAUAUGUCUUUUCUAAGUUUAGAAGAUAGUUGGAAUCUGUUUACCGAAAGAGUAUUCAGAAAAGAUCCCUGUCCUCCACAACUGGAGGAAAUAGGGAAGCAUAUUACACGACAAUGUCAAGGUUUACCUCUCUCGAUUGUUGUCGUUGCUGGAUUUCUUGCCAAGGUGGAUCCCACACAUUAUAAUUGGAAGGAAGUUCAGGGAAAUUUGAACUCAUUCUUUGGUACGGUUUCUGAACAGUGUCAAGCAAUUCUUUCGUUGAGCUACAGUUUCUUGCCCCAAUAUUUGAAGGCGUGUUUUAUCUAUGUUGGAUGUUUUCCUGAAGAUAUGGAGAUUGGUGUUUCAAAGUUGACUCGCUUAUGGAUUGCUGAGCAAUUCAUAAAGGCAAGAAGCGAUGAAAUGAUAGAAGUGGUGGCAGAGGAGUAUCUAGAAGAGUUAAUUGAUAGGAGUCUAAUUUUGGUUGGUAGAAGAAGGGCUAACGGAAGGAUUAAAACUUGUAAAAUUCAUGAUGUCAUUCGACAACUAUGUAUAAGACAAGCUCAAAUUGAAAAUAUCGUGCAUUUCAUGGAUAAGCCUGCCAUUGCUUCAGAAGGCUUAAAUGAUCAACGAGGAGUGAUUAUUGCACAUAAUAUCUAUUCGAGCUAUGAUUAUUUUCUAGAGCAUGGGAGUGGUAUUACAAGCACGACCCGCUGCUUGGUCUUUCCAGGAUUAUUUUCAUUUGCAGAAGUUCGUGGUUCCGUUAUUUCACAUUUCAAGCUGCUUAAGGUGUUGGAUGCAUUUUCAAUCAUUCAUGUGAAUGAUUCAAUCAGUUAUGAUUUCUCCUGUGUAAUACCUCAGCUUGUACAUUUGAGAUAUGUUGCUGCAAGAAUUGAUGAAGCUUCUUCACUAGCCAAAUUGUGGAACCUACAGACCAUAAUAUUGAAAGGCAGAGCGGUGCAGGUACCACUAGAGAUGUGGAAAAUGUCAGAGCUAAGACAUCUCGAUAUCAGAUGGUCAAAUCGAAUACCUAAUCCUCUUGAGGCAGAAAAUUAUGGUAUUGGUGAACAACCUUUGUUUCUCAAUAACUUGCAAAAACUUGCUCUACAUUCCUCUCCUUUUCUUGCAGAAAUCCUACAAAGAACUCCCAAUCUGAAUAAGCUAAAGAUUAGAGACGCAUCCAAUACUGAGUGGUCUGCCAUUCUUGAUUGUCUCAAUCUUCUACAGGAGCUUGAGACACUACAUAUAGUGACAAACGGUGAUCCAAUCAUUCUGUUUCGGCGUAUUUUCCUGCCUAGUCUCAAGCAAUUGACCUUAGUUAAUACUUAUUUUCCAUGGGAAGAUAUUGUUGUGCUGGCUAAUUUACCCAAUCUUGAGGUGCUCAAAGCACAACGUGGAUUUUGGGGAACAGAUUGGAGACUAAAUGCAGAUGAUGUGUUUCGAAAAUUAAAACAUCUACGAUUGAGUAAUGGAGGUCUGAAAAGAUGGGAAGCAUCUGACAAUAAUUUUCCGAUGCUUGAGCAACUAGUCCUCGAACGGAUGUAUGACUUGGAGGAGAUUCCCCAGAGUAUUGGAGAAAUACCGACGCUAAAAUUAAUCCGUGUAGAAAAAUGCGGCCCUGUAGUCGAGGCUAUUGCAAAGAAGAUUCAAGAAGAGCAAGAAAGCUGGGGAAAUUAUGAGCUUCAAGUUCGAAUUGACCAGUUUUGAAAAUUAGACCUUGGGGAGCCCGAGGCGUAGAUUGGGAUUGACUUUAGGCUGGCUAUCUUGGAGUGCGUUCGAGGUACAGACGCACAGUUUGGUGAUCCACCGGUUUAGGACACCCCUUUUUGCUGUUGGAGUGCUCUUCUCCUUUCAGAGCAUAUCUUUUGGUAUAUAUUUUUGUUCGCUAUGUAUGUAUAUAUUUGUUCAGGGGUACGGCGGGGCCCUGUCCCGCCAUAUGAUUCGUUUGGUCUGUUUAGAGGUCUGUAGACGUAUUUGUGGGUGUGUGUGCCUACUUCUGUAUAGAUGUGUUUGCAUGACCCUAUUCGUUAUGGCAGCCUUGUCGGUGGGCACUUUGUAUAUGUUUUGGGCCGUUGUGCCAUUUGAUAGCCUUGUCGGCUUUCGAUACAUUUGAUAGCCUUGCCGGCCUUUUGAUAUAUAUAUCCGCAUACGGUUGCGUUGA